AGGCAACGAUGCUUAGCGGGUCUGAGAGGAUGAUCCGCCACACUGGAACUGAGACACGGUCCAGACUCCUACGGGAGGCAGCAGUGGGGAAUAUUGCGCAAUGGGGGAAACCCUGACGCAGCAAUGCCGCGUGAGUGAGGAAGGCCUUCGGGUUGUAAAGCUCUGUCAGAUGGGAAGAAACCUCCUUGGUCUAAUAGGCCUUGGAACUGACGGUACCAUCAAAGGAAGCACCGGCUAACUUCGUGCCAGCAGCCGCGGUAAUACGAAGGGUGCAAGCGUUGUUCGGAUUUACUGGGCGUAAAGCGCGCGCAGGCGGAUUGAUAAGUCAGAUGUGA
This 335-nucleotide ribosomal RNA is filed under the name uncultured Halobacteriovorax sp. Its description in RNAcentral is "bacterial SSU rRNA". It matches the Rfam family "Bacterial small subunit ribosomal RNA", at positions 271 to 597 of the family's 1533-position model. Lineage: Bacteria; Pseudomonadati; Bdellovibrionota; Bacteriovoracia; Bacteriovoracales; Halobacteriovoraceae. The record is from RNAcentral.